AUGAAAAGGUGGAGGUGGUCAGAGAGAGAGAGAGAGAGAGAGAGAGAGAGAGAGAGAGAGAGAGAGAAACAAACAAGCAAGCAAGCACACACACACACACACACACACACACACCUCGUCCCAGUGCUGUCGUGCGCCUCGUGUCAUCACCUAAUCUUUUAAUGCUUCGUGGCAAGGCAAACUGAAUAUAACCCGUUUAAUGUCACCAAAUGGCCACGUCAAGCCCUCGCUUCUCACUGUUAAAGACUUAUAUAUGUGACUUUUAACAGCUGAGUGCAGUACUGAGCUCCAUAUGUAUACGUGAAUCAUUAAGGUGUGAAGAAAAAUGGGUAUACAAUAAACAGGUGAGCACACAGUUAAUUAAGGUAGCCUGCCUAGCACACCUGUCUGGUAAUAUUCUAAAGUUCAGGUGUGAGAAGUAUGGAUCAGGUAUGUUUUUUGAUAAGUACACAAACAUUGUAUUGAUUCGCAAGUGUCUGGUGAAAGAUAAUGUUGAAAUGGGUUAAUACACUUCACCUGUCCCUUAAUUACUCAGAAUACAGGUGUAAAAAAUCAGAUUCAUAAACCAGGUAUAUUCAUUCAGAUUACGAAACGAAGAAAUUGAUGUCGAAAUGGUGACUAUACCAUACCUGUCUUUUAAUUAGCGCGAAUACAGAUGUGAAAAAACUAUUAUUAAUUCAGAGACUUGAAUUUGAAAACGUGCCUAAAUUUUAUAACGUCAUAAAGAUAAAUACGUAGAAGAAAUAGAUAAUUAGCAAUGUACCACACCUGACAACCACUAAUGCAGGUGUGGAAAAUCAAACUAAAAGAAAUAAAAAGAAAAAAAUGUCGAAACUUAAAAAAAAAAAAAAAAAAAAACUAAACACCUGGCAACCACUAAUACAGGUGUGAAGCGUCCAACACCCAAACACCCACGUAGUUCAUAAGUACAACAAUCUGAGUAUCGUACUAAGCGGCCAACGUACGAUAACUACUUGGCACAGGGAUAGAGAGAGAGAGAGAGAGAGAUACAGGGACGACGCACGUGGUGAAGCUCAGUGUAUCCGCGACGGGGCUGGAGGUAGGGUGUGUGUUGCGUGCCCUCGGCUUGCCCGGCUUGCGUGCUGCAGGUGUGGCUAACUCGACCAACUAACGCCACCACCGGGAUACACCUCAGUACUGAAUACCACCUGGAACUGCCGGGAUGUGAAAAGAAAAAAAAAGAAAGAAAAAUUGUGAAAUACUGGAAUGAAUAGAAAAAAAAUUACGUGGUUAGGAGAGAAUUGACACAGAACAUUGCAACAAGAAA
Long non-coding RNA from Portunus trituberculatus (swimming crab), 1288 nucleotides. RefSeq lists it as uncharacterized. The record is from RefSeq and is a predicted model, not a curated record. Lineage: Eukaryota; Metazoa; Arthropoda; Malacostraca; Decapoda; Portunidae. The transcript has 2 exons.